Molecule: ribosomal RNA, 1035 nt
Filed under: Triticum aestivum (bread wheat)
Lineage: Eukaryota; Viridiplantae; Streptophyta; Magnoliopsida; Poales; Poaceae
Description: partial small subunit ribosomal RNA
Source: RNAcentral
AUGAAAACACAUGAGCGUGCUGCCAACUUGGCUCUUGCUGGUUUGAGCUUGGCACCGCUCGUGAUCAAUGUUAACCCAAAUUUGAAUGUGAUACUGACAGCAUGUCUUACUGUCUAUGUGGGCUGUUACCGUUCCGUCAAGUCAACUCCACCCGCUGAGACAAUGUCCAAAGAGCAUGCUAUGCGUUUCCCUUUGGUUGGGAGUGCUAUGCUUUUGUCGCUAUUCCUUCUGUUCAAGUUUCUCUCCAAGGACCUGGUCAAUACUGUUCUCACUGCCUACUUUUUCAUUCUUGGCAUUGCUGCGCUCUGUGCAACGUUGCUCCCUACUGUCAAACGUUUUCUUCCAGAAGGAUGGAAUGAUAAUGCCAUUGUCUGGCGUGCUCCAUAUUUCCACUCACUGUCGGUGGAGUUUACCAAGUCUCAAGUUGUCGCUUCAGUCCCUGGAUUUUUCUUCUGCGUAUGGUAUGCCAUGAAGAAGCAUUGGCUAGCAAACAAUGUUUUGGGACUUGCUUUCUGCAUUCAGGGAAUUGAGAUGUUAUCACUAGGAUCAUUCAAAACUGGUGGUAUUCUCUUGGCUGGACUUUUUGUGUAUGACAUUUUCUGGGUUUUCUUCACUCCAGUUAUGGUCAGUGUUGCUAAAUCAUUUGAUGCUCCAAUAAAGCUUCUAUUUCCCACCGGGGAUGCCGCACGCCCGUUCUCUAUGCUUGGUCUUGGUGAUAUUGUUAUACCUGGUAUAUUUGUUGCACUUGCACUCCGUUUCGAUGUCUCAAGAAACAUUAAGAACCGUUACUUCAAUAGUGCAUUUUUGGGAUACACUGCGGGUAUGACAGUAACAAUAGUUGUGAUGAACUGGUUUCAAGCUGCACAGCCUGCUCUGCUAUACAUCGUUCCUGGCGUGACUGGUUUUGUGGCUGUCCACUCUUUGUGGAAUGGUGAAGUAAAGCCGCUACUGGAGUUCACCGAGACGCAGCCUGAAGAGGAGGGAGCCGCCGAGGAAGAAGAUGAAGAUUCCAGUCAGAGCAAAAAGGUGGACUAG